Molecule: long non-coding RNA, 3410 nt
Filed under: Drosophila guanche
Lineage: Eukaryota; Metazoa; Arthropoda; Insecta; Diptera; Drosophilidae
Source: RNAcentral
AUUUUGGAUAUCGAUAAAAAGUUAAAUAAAUGUGUAUUAAUUUUUGUAGAGAUCAAAUUUGUAUUUGGAACUGUAACUGAAACCUCGAAAACUGACACAACCCCAAGGAACAUCAAAGGGUUAAUCAUGUGUAAUUGCGUUGGUGGAGCCCACAACAAAACGCAAAAGCAAAUAAGAAAGGCAAGGGAAGUUGUAAAGGGCGCACAAGAAGAACGAAACAUGACGAAAACGAAACGAAACGCAAUGGAAUUGCAUGGAACGGAUUGGUACGCGCCUCGUCGUCUCUUCUGCUUUUUUGGGGGCGAGGAAGUGAAUUUCUGCCUUUGAACGUGACGGAAAUUGAAUUUCCGUUUCUUGGCGAUGACACUUUUGGCAGAAUGAGAGAGAGAGGCUACAAAACGCCAACGUUAGUCAUGAAGUGGAUGCCCUUUGGCGGAGGGUAUUAUGAUUUCACAGAUAUGUUUGGUGGAGAAGAAACGAUCGCUCUGUGAGUGUAUCUCCGUUUCUUUAGCUUCUUUUCCUCCACCGUUUCGGAAGUCAGUAGGCGAGUGACGCAUGCGCGCUGUGGCAGAGGCAACGCCAACGCCAUGAGCAGAGGUUGAAGUGUAUGUUUGUAAGUAUCUCUGGUUUCUACUACUGCUGUAUGUCUGUGGUCUGCCUCGAAGCGAGUGUGUUGUGUGUGUGUGUGUGGGUUGCCCCAAUCAUGUCAGAACGGGCUUGGAAAUGAGUUGUAAUUAGGAGCUACCUACAAACAGUUCCGGUUCUGAGCUCUCCAUGCUGUUCGGGGUUUCCCGUUCCUCCCCACCACCUCUGCUCCACCUAAUUGUUGUGGCUAUCCCACUGUAUGCCUGUCAAUGGGUUGAUUUACUGCGUUCGCGUGGGCGAAGAUAUAUUUAUUGGCGGUGGAGAAAUAUACAGGGAAAACGUGACUAUAAAAAUGGUAGCAAAGAAAAAGAGGUAAUUGGUUUGUGAAACUCUCAUUUGGUACUGCAGUAAAGACAGUUACAAUAUCGAUGGAAGGUAUUCCCUAUAAGUCAGUUGAUUGUAGCUAAGAUUUAUAUUCAUUAUUGCUCAUCUUUUAUUGUAUUUUUCUCUAGAGAACCUCGUAACUCAUUUGCACACCAUUCAAUUCCACUUUUUGAAUUACAAUUUCCACAGUUAUUCGCAUUUUUUGUGUGAUUUUUAUGGAGUUGUGGUCUAGUUAGGAGAUUGCAUUUAAUUGUUCGAAGGUUUUAUGGAUGGAUGAAUGUCUAAUUGCCAGGUAGCGCCAUUCCCAUUCCUAUAGAAAUUUCUUCUCCUCUACCAGCUCCCCCAUUGCUCUCCUACUUUAGAUGUUUGUGGGUGGGUUUGGGUGUCUUUGAGGGUCGACUGGCGGUCGUUAGUCGCUGAGUUGCGUUGGUGGCUGCAAUUUCCUGCCACACCGCACCGCACCCCGCACCACACUCUUUCUGCCGCAUGCUAAUGCUAUAAACUUUGCAAUUAUUGCAUUUACUCUCAUUUACCACUGAGUUUGAGUUUGCUGCCGUUACUGUUGUUGCUUUGUUGCUGCUGCCGCCUCGUUAUUGCCGGCGCACACGGGCCAGGCCACUUAAAAGCAGCAGCAACAACAACAACAACAACAACAACAACAACAACAACAACAAAGAAACAUAAAACGAUAUGGGGGCAAGCGUGAGAGGUGGUGUGGAACCCAAGAGGCGAGGCCCAAGUGGCGGACCAUAAGGAAAAUUGCAAUGGAGAAGCAUUCACGCCUGGCGCCAGGCAGCCAGGCAGACCAGAACGCCAGAGCCCCCAGACAUUUAGGACAGAAAUCAGAGAGCCCCCGCCAACAGAGAGAGAGUGGAGAAUAGAGAAUCGCAGAGGAGAGAGUGACUGGACUCUGGAGGAGCCAGAGAACCAGAUGGAACCAACAUUUAUAGUGGUGGUAGAACUUUCGUUAAGUUGUGGCACAACAAAUGAAAGUUGGGGAUAAAUAUGAGUCACUUCCUUCCAAAACUCACGCUUCUAUUUCGAACCUUAAAGCCCUUGUGUAGCCCUCUCCCAUCUCUAAUUUCCUGCACGUAUCCAAAGUUCCGUUAGCUACAACGAAAGUGUAACGGUAGAGAGUUGGCAGCUCUAUGAUGAAAGGGCGCUGCAAAGUACCGAGGGGAGAGCGAGGACCGCAGCUAGACUUAUGCUGAACAUUUCCGCGGAAGUUAUUGGCAGGGGAAGUCCCCUCCCACACACCUCUACGCGGUGCAUCAACGCCACCGCCCACUCAAUGUUCUCACAUGUUUUCCGCAAACAAACAACUUUGCUGGAAAGCCGAGAGAGAGGGAAGGAAGUCAGCAGCAAGGCAGGGAGCAUAGGAAGCAGAGAGAUGGCUGGCGAAGCUUUUGGGCCCAUAAUGCACGCCACAAAUAAUUUGCAAAUUACGGGCACAGGUAAUUGUCGUCGCCAUCGUUUGUUGCAGUUGUUGUUGUUGUUGUUGUAGUCACUGCCUGCCGCAUGUUCUGCCGUUGCAACCAGCAGGUGAGAAGAAAAUAAAAUACAAAACCAUCGACCGUCGUCAUCAUCGCCCAUCGUCAUCGUCGUUGUGGCUGCAAUUACAAGCAGGAAAUGAGAGCCAUACCUAUCGAAGGUUUAGAUACCCUUUAUAGAAAGAGAAUUGCUAGGAAUAGUAUAGGAGGAUAUAGUCAUUCGACAUGGAUCACAUUUGGCUUGAAUUUUUGAAGAAAACUACAUGAAGCUCGGGAUACAAUUUGCAUUUUUCAUGGAUCUCUCAAUGGAUUCCCAGUUCCGACACAGAAACUCUUUCUGGAUUCCUCGAUUUGUAAAUACUUUUCUGCCUUUCCGCUAGGGUAUCAAAAGUAUUCAAAUAGUGAGAAAACUCUAAGGGCAGCCUGUAUUUGGCAUCGACAUUUAGGGAGGGCAACAUAAGGAAAUUCGACCCCUCAUUCUGUUGAUAAUUGGGUCAUAAAAAAGUUAUUUGUGUAAAAUUAUGAAAAUAAACUCAAUUGCAAUAAUUUGCUAUACAGGAAAAUGGCAGCAAACAAAUGUGGAGGAUUACCAGGAAAUUAUCAAGGAGCAGGCAAAGGAAUGAGGCACGACUCCCUUGAACUGAAUGGACUGGAAUGGAAUGCAAAAGCUGUAGCGGCUGCGUGUGGCAUACAAAUCACAGGAAAUAUAUCCACUUUAUGAUUUCCCCUGAAAUCAUAGGAAUUUUCUUUCGUAAAAAGUUAUAUAAUUGGAAGCAGAGCAGAGCCAAAAGUUAAGAUAUUUACGUCGAAAUGGCAGAAUAAUUAGGGAUAAUAAUUUGUAGACCGGAAAAGGAAGGAGAGAGCAGCAGAAAGAGGAUGAGAGUAGCUUUGGGAUGCAACACAGAAAAUAUUGAGGCCAAUAAAUUAACAUAAUGUAUGAUGAAAAUUCAC